Molecule: RNA transcript, 2384 nt
Organism: Populus euphratica (Euphrates poplar)
Lineage: Eukaryota; Viridiplantae; Streptophyta; Magnoliopsida; Malpighiales; Salicaceae
Gene name: splicing factor U2af large subunit B-like
Exons: 13
Source: RefSeq, a predicted model, not a curated record
ACCCGAACGCUAUUUCACUCUGCCGUAUAAAUACAGCAAGAAAACCCAAUUUCAAGCCCGAGAUUUCUUCUUCAAUUUCACUUUUGCAGCUAAAUCAUCAAAAAUCGAAAAUAUACAACACCAUGACUGAUUACGAAGCUGAGAGAUACGAAGGUAACGGCGGAGCUGUUUUCGAAAACAACAGCUACGGUGCCGAUUCCUCUCCUCCGCCACGCGGCGGCGAUGAUCACAGCGAUUCCAAGUCUCAGCAUGGGUCUCGUGACUACGAGAGGGAGUCUUCAAAAGGCAGGGAGAAAGAGAGAAGCAGAGAUAGUGACAGGGACAGGAAAAGAGACCGAGACAAGGAUAGGGAGAAAAGCAGGGGCAGGGAUAGGGAUAGGGAAAGGGACCGAGACAAGGAUAGGGAGAAAAGCAGGGGCAGGGGCAGGGAUAGGGAAAGGGACCGAGACAAGGAUAGUGAUCGUCAUCGUGAUCAACAUAGAGAUCACAGUGAAAGAAGGGAUCGGGGCCGAGAUAGGGAUGAUGAUGAUUACUACCGAAGCCGAGAUUAUGACAGGCGGAGAGAUUAUGAUAGAGACAGUGAAGACAGACAUAGACGCUUGUCACGAUCUCGUUCAAAAGGUAGAUCUGAGCACAGAUCAAGGUCACGCUCACGAUCACGCUCUAAGAGCAAAAGGAUCAGCGGUUUUGAUAUGGCUCCUCCAUCUUCUGCAAUGUUGCCUAAUGCUGCUGCCGCUGUAGCUGCUGCAGCAGCCGCUGCCUUUGCAGGCCAGAUUACUGGGACUACUACUCCCAUUCCUGGAAUGUUUCCCAACAUGUUUCCAUUAGGGACUGGUCAGCAGUUUGGUGCUCUCCCUGUUAUGCCAGUUCAGGCUAUGACUCAACAGGCUACUAGGCAUGCUCGGCGGGUAUAUGUUGGAGGGCUUCCACCUACAGCCAAUGAACAGUCUGUGGCUACCUUUUUUAGCCAGGUUAUGGCUGCAAUUGGAGGGAACACUGCAGGCCCAGGGGAUGCUGUUGUUAAUGUUUAUAUAAACCAUGAAAAGAAGUUUGCAUUUGUGGAGAUGAGAUCUGUUGAGGAGGCCAGUAAUGCAAUGGCUUUGGAUGGGAUUAUUUUUGAGGGAGCACCUGUUAAGGUGAGGAGACCUAGUGACUAUAAUCCAUCUCUGGCUGCAACACUUGGUCCAAGCCAACCCAAUCCCAAUCUUAAUCUAUCUGCAGUAGGCCUUGCUCCGGGUUCGGCUGGUGGACUCGAGGGUCCAGACCGCAUUUUUGUGGGUGGACUUCCGUAUUACUUUACAGAAUCACAGAUCAGGGAGUUGUUGGAGUCUUUUGGAGCUCUCCGUGGUUUUGAUCUUGUAAAAGACAGAGAGACUGGGAACUCAAAAGGCUAUGCAUUUUGUGUUUACCAAGAUCUUUCAGUGACAGACAUAGCCUGUGCUGCUCUGAAUGGAAUUAAAAUGGGUGAUAAAACUCUCACUGUUAGGCGUGCCAACCAGGGCACCAACCAACCAAAACCUGAGCAAGAGAAUGUGCUAUUGCAUGCCCAGCAGCAGAUUGCAUUGCAGAGGCUUAUGUUACAGCCACAGCCUGUGUCCACAAAAGUUGUAUGCCUAACUCAAGUAGUUACUGGAGAUGAGCUUAAGGAUGAUGACGAGUAUGAAGACAUUUUGGAAGACAUGAGAACGGAAGCUGGGAAAUUUGCCUUUUCUAGUCCCACAUUCUGCUAUAAAGAAUCAAGCCUAACAUACACAGACAGAAGACUUCAUAACCCCCAAUUUAUAUUUACUUGAGAUUGGUUUCAGCUUUUUGAUAAAAAGAUAAUUGUUUUCAAAACUUUGGAUUGCAUGUUUUCACAUUUUAUAUGCAGGUCAACUGGUUAAUGUUGUGAUCCCGCGCCCAAGACCAAACGGUGAAAAUGCACCAGGAGUUGGGAAGGUGUUCUUGGAGUAUGCAGACACUGAAGGUUCUUCAAAAGCUCGAGCGGGGAUGAAUGGGAGGAAAUUUGACGGAAAUCAAGUUGUGGCUGUCUUUUAUCCAGAGAACAAGUUCUCCCAGGGAGAAUAUGAUGACUAAUUAGUUCUACAGGCUUCCACCACAGUUUUGCAUUCUGUGAUGCGUUGUUAUCAGGCCAUCAUGAUUAGAAUGCUGUUUGUUCUAUGCUUUUAAUGAUAUAUGUAUAUAUAGCUUAGAAGUCUACUUUAUGGCUUUUGCUGUUUCGUUGAAUGCCUUGUUGGAAUCCAUAAUCCAUAAACAGAUGACAGUCAAAAACUGAACUAAAGCUCAAAUUAACUAUUUUUCUGGUUAUUGGUCGCUUACCUCGUGUCAGAGGAAGGCCAGUAAUGAUUUUGAUCGCUACAUUAGAAUGAGAUCUGCUGUAAGAA